Acanthosepion pharaonis is the source of this 109-nucleotide non-coding RNA. The record is from the annotation of a GenBank genome assembly. NCBI's taxonomy places the organism in Eukaryota, Metazoa, Mollusca, Cephalopoda, Sepiida, Sepiidae.
GUCAUGUCACGUUGAAACACCAGUUCCUGUACGAUCACUGAAGUUAAGCAAUAUCAAGCCAGGUCAGUGCCUAGAUGGGUGACCACUUAAGAAUACUAAAUGCUGUAAG